UUCAGUACAUUUUUUUGUAAAUUCUUUUGUGGAAUGUAAAAAUUCCAACAGAAUUACAAUGUAUUUAGACAAUUUUGCUAAAAGAAUUGCGAAGAAUUUACUGUUGUAUUCUGUGGGUUAUGAUGAGUGUAAUACCUAUAUCCUGUGAACUUAUAAUUAGACAUAAUUGAUUGUUUACCUUAGCGUAAUUAGUUCGGAGGUUCUCUCUAGAAAAACUCGGGAAAUAAAGUGUCGGCAUGGGUAAUUAUUCUAAGAAAUCUUCGGCAGAGUGGUUUAUAGACCAAUUGAACGUUGAAAAUGCAAAAUUAGCGGCGUUUGUGCUUGUUAUUGGCUUUAUUGGUUACCACGGGAUACUACACCUUCGGUAUGGUCCUGAUUCCUGUACAUGGUUACUGACUUCAGGGAGGUAUAAGGGCGACCAUGAAUGGCAGCCUUAUGGCUGUAUGCUGCAUAGAUACUCAAAAACUGAUGCACGCCGUUGCCUCCGGUACCUGGCGUUUUGGGGGAAAUACAACAGCUUCGCUUUUAUUGGAGAUUCGCGGGUUGAACAGCUCUAUGAAUAUUUCAUAGGUGUGUUGAAAACUCGGCUAGACAUGGAUUCUUCAUACUCCACUAUAGAUCACCAUUCUCCUAACUAUACAUAUGUGGACAACAAACUUAGACUCUCCGUUACAUUUAUAUGGAGUAACGACGUGUCGAGGAAAAUGGUUGAGCAAUUCCGUACUUGGCAACAAUCCGACAAACCGCCGUCAGUUAUAAUAGCAAGCACAGGCCUACAGUUGCUAGCGACUCGCAAUACAACCGACCAAGUCAUCGACGAAUACAAGAGGAACCUAACACGAUUGGUUCAGCCCAUCGACGCUCUAGCGGUUAGAGACACUAGAAUACUCUGGAAGCUUCUGGAACCCGUGGACAGUAGCAAACAGAAGAGCCAGAAGAUCAGCAAUACUGACAUUGAUGCGUAUAAUCGAGCUGCUAUUGAGAUCCUAACCCACAGUUCUGUCAAGAUCUGGAACUCGCCGCGGCUGGUGGCGCAGGGCGCGGCGUCAGGCUCAGGGCUCCGCCUGAGCGACACGGUGCUCCGCCACUGCGCUCAAAUCCUGCUCAACAUGUUCUGCAAUGACCACAUGAACUUUAACGACGGCUCGUGUUGUGCUGCGCCUGAGCCGACUUCCAAACUACAGCUGCUUACGCAAAUUCUGUUCGCGCUAUGCGCAGUGAUAUCAGUAAUAAAGAAGCUGUGGCAAUGGACACAGACCCUACAACAGCGUCUUGGGGGGUACUCCCUAAUGUCCCCGGCGCCCGACCCCCCACCCUCCCCUCUCGCCGCUCUAGCCAAACUUGGCAUGAUCAUGGCAUAUUUCUACCUCUGUGACAGAACUAACUUCUUCAUGAAGGAGAACAAGUAUUAUUCCGAGUGGAGCUUCUGGUUACCAGUAGGCUAUGUGUUCGCGUUGGGACUGUUUUUCACAGAUGAUUCCAGGUCUAGUAGAGUCCUCCACCGCGAGCAAACGAACGAAUGGAAGGGCUGGAUGCAGCUGGUCAUCCUGGUGUACCAAGUCACAGGCGCCAGCAAAGUCCUCCCGAUAUACAUGCUCGUGCGGGCCUUGAUAUCAUCAUACUUGUUCCUCACUGGUUACGGGCACCUGUACCAUCUGUGGCAGACGGGGGACGCAGGGCUGGUCAGAUACUUCCGCGUCAUGUUCCGCUUGAAUUUCCUUACCGUGGUCCUGUGUCUCGCCAUGAACAGACCCUACCAGUUCUACAGCUUCAUACCACUCGUCUCCUUCUGGUACACUCUGUUCUUCGUGAUCUUCGCGCUACCACCGCACAUCACAAAGGCGACGUCGCACACAGUCGAGUCGAAACCCUACCAAUAUCUGUACAUAGCCAUCAAAGUGAUCGGUCUGUUGACUAUAGUGACGGUCCUAUAUAUGAGCGAGGUGUUCUUCCAGAAGAUAUUCGUCACGAGGCCCUGGAAGGCAUUGUUUGUGAACGCCGACGAUGAUAUACACCAGUGGUGGCUGCAGUGGAAGCAAGAUCGAUACUCCAUGGCCUACGGCAUAAUUUUCGCGACGGCGUACCUCCUGGCGCAACGAUACAACCUUCUAGACGACAACAACCAUAGCAACCUGUUCACACCAGGAGUCUCCCUCACCGCGACACUACUCGCCUUUAUAGGCUUAGGGAGCUACAUAACAUUCACCUUUUUCUGCACGAACACCUUUGACUGCAACGAGAUACAUUCCUACGUUGCUUUCCUCCCCAUUGUAAGCUAUAUAAUCCUAAGGAACGUAUCAGGUGCGUUAAGAAUGCGACAUUCCAGUAUGUUCGCGUGGUUUGGCACGAUCACUUUAGAACUGUUCGCCAGUCAAAGCCACAUUUGGCUGGCCGCCGACACUCAUGGAGUCCUAGUACUUAUACCAAGCGCUCCCAUAUUAAACCUAAUAUUAACUUCGUAUAUCUUCAUUUGCACAGCACACGAGAUUCACAAGUUGACUGGUAUUAUAUUACCAUAUGCAGUGCCAGAUGAUUGGAAGUUAGUAUUGAGAAAUUUCGCAAUUUUCCUAGCAGUACUUGUACCUAUAGGCAUACAUGAUGGUAUGUUUUGAACGAGUCAAUUGAAUAAUGGCUGUGUGAAAGUAUUAUUGAAAUGUAAAUAUUUGUGAUAUGAUAACGCGUGAUAUGUGAUUUUAAUUUAAACUUAAAAAACUACAAGGCAAUGUUAGUGUUUUGGCAAUGCUGAUUUUAUUUAUGUACAUGAACAAUUUGUAAUCCAAAACCAUGAAGUCUUCGAUGAGAGUGGAAGGAUCGUAGUAAGUGGAAUCCCGUGGAUUCUGCCUACCCCAACGGGAAAUGGGCGUGAUUUUAUGUAUGUGUACAAUUUAUAAUGCGUUUCAAGAACUAAGGUUUGUUCCAUUGCUUGCUCUGAUAGGCUAUCCAGAACUUAUCUGUUAGAUAGGAGCUCUACCAUACAUUUUAAAUUUAGUACUGACACACGCCACCAGUGCUCUUUUUUAAAUUGGAUAGGGACCUUAGUAUAUUUUUAUUGUAUUUCACCAUAGAGCAACUACAUGUCGCCAACCGUAUACCGCAAUAUAAUGUACCCACUUUAGGACUCUGUCGCACUAACAUAUUUGACAUUUAGUGAGACUUACAGUUCAAUCUGUCAAAGAAUUUAAUGUGACAUGGUACCAAAGUGUAUACAUAUUAAUGCUCGUGAUCGUUUCUCCAGUAGUAGUCAUCCGACAGAUAGGCAAUUAGUUUGCCAGUAAGCAGUGGAAUAAACCAAUAGUUUUUAAUUUAUUAUUUAUUUAUAUCACUACGAACACGAAGUGAGAUAAAAAGACAAAGUAAGAAACGUAACAAUAAUAAAGAGACGUCAACUAGAUAAGAGUUGGUAAUAGCAAAAAGACAUACAUUUACUGACUUAUUUUUAUUGAAUUUAAAACAUAAAUGGUUGUAUGGCUACCGUAUGUACUUGUACGGGGUGUAAGUGACAUCGUAACUAAUACUGAGAGGGAUAAUUCAGCUGAUUAUUCUGAGUUAAUAUUAAGUGGAAUUUUUCUGAAAGAAAAUAAUAAACUAUAAAAUAAUGAACUAAAAAAAAUAGUUCGAUAAAGAUAAUUAGGUAUAUUAUUUUGAUGGUCCUACGUACACCUCCAUCGGAGUAGAUAAAACCAAAGAAUUUUCCAUCGUAAAAGUUAUAGAAUUGACAACAUUUCAAAUUUUUAAGCCGUGGUUUUUUUGUGCUAUUUCGAAAGUACUUGUUUAAAUAGAAGACACGUAUUUUUUCUUUUCAAGAUUUUUCCACCAGAAGUUACAAAAAAUAUUUUUUGAAAAUUGGAUUCUGCCAUUGAUAGAAUGAAGGCAGUAUAAUGUAAUGUACCUUUGCAUGCGUAUUUAAAACAAUAGCUGUUUGAUAUUGUCUGUGGGGAUUUCGAAUGUCAUUGUCAUUCGUCUGUUUUAGCAUUUUAGGUUAAAUUAUUAAAUUCCCGUUUCCCCAUUACUUAAUAAAAAAAAGAAUGUGCAACCACGUAAAUUAGAUCCUCUAUUAUUAUUAUAUUAAAUCUAUUAUUAUUCUUCUAAUAUUAAAAAAAGUCAUGAAUUUUGCGACAGAAAAUUCCACUUCAUAUUAACUCAGAAUCAUGGUCUGAAUCAUCCCCCUGAGUAUUCGUUACGAUGUCACUAACACCCUGCAUAUGAUCAAAGGUUGAUAAACUCAAAUAAAUGUACAUGAAGAUGUGAUACUAUGAAUAUUAUGUAUAUUAUAUUUAUUUAUUUAUUCAGUAUUUCGGCGUUUAGUUAGUCCCUUUAAUCUAGUUAAAGACAUCUCUCAUCAAUACGUACAGUCAUAAGCAAUAUCAUGUACCCACUUUAGAACCCUGUCGCACUAUCAUAUUUGACAUUUAAUGAGACUUACAGUUUAAUUUGUCAAAA
This 4440-nucleotide unclassified non-coding RNA is filed under the name Pectinophora gossypiella (pink bollworm). RNAcentral's name for it is "n-acetylneuraminate 9-O-acetyltransferase". Lineage: Eukaryota; Metazoa; Arthropoda; Insecta; Lepidoptera; Gelechiidae. The record is from RNAcentral.